Long non-coding RNA from Octopus sinensis (East Asian common octopus), 2204 nucleotides. RefSeq lists it as uncharacterized. The record is from RefSeq and is a predicted model, not a curated record. NCBI's taxonomy places the organism in Eukaryota, Metazoa, Mollusca, Cephalopoda, Octopoda, Octopodidae. The transcript is spliced from 2 exons.
UCGUUUGGGAAGCUUGAGUCGUGGCUCUGGUUGCAAUUAGAGAUUAAGGCAGCAACAAAAGUUGAGACAUAUCAAAUAUACGUAGUUGUAUGGAUGUAAGACUUGGACAACUUACAACAGGAUUAUCCAACGUCUUGAGCGAAUCUACCAACGAUGAUUGCGUAAUAUCCUGAAGAUCUCAUGGUGAUCUCAUGUACCUGAUACGAAAGUACUGAAGCUGUCGUAAAUGACAGGUAUUGAGUCCAUGAUUAUGAAGCACCAACUUUGAUGGUUUGGUAAUUUUGUCCGUCUUGAGAACUCAGCGCAUGCCAAAACAUGUUUUGUAUGGUGAGCUGGAGCAAGGAAAACGUCUCCUGUGCAACCGGUUUAAAGGUAAUCUUGAAGGCAUUCCUAAAAAAGAUCAGUAUCAAUAUUAACAUCUGGGAAGAAGAUCUUGCAUCAGAUGGGGGAGGAAUCUGAUUGCUAUUGAUGUUAAAGAAUUCAAAAACGACAGGGUAGCAUACACUGAGUUGAAAAAGUGUUGGUAAAUAUACGGAAGAUAUGAACACUUUAUGUAGGUCAGUCUAUUAGCGGUCCCAACAUCAAGAUGGUCAGGCCGCUGCUGGAGAGCUGACUUGUAAUCUGUGUGAAUGACUUGUGAGUAUUUAGCAGGCUUUAAGAACCAUAUGAGAUGAUAUCAGUGAUGGGGAGAUCAAUUGUGAUUUUUUUUUUUUUUUAGAGUGAAAUGGGUUUAAGAAUCGGUUACAAGUCCACUAUCCUCAAGUGUGUGUGCGCGCAUGUAACUGUGAGAAUACGUAAUUGAAUGUGUCUGAAAGUCUAAGAUAACUUCCAAGUGGAUCGCUGGCAACUUUAUUACACAACUGUUAUCUUCCGUUAUACAUCACAUAUCUAAAUCAAUACAAUCUCAACUCUUUCCAAGAUAUAAAGCAAAUCAUUCAUGUCCAGUUUUUCUCUUGCUGCUCCAUCAUUUAUGCACAUUAACUUUAUACAUCCAGUGGAAAAUACUCACCUCAUUUCUUUCCAGUUUUCAUUCACACAUCCUUCACAUUCAAGACCCAUGUUUCACAGCUUUGCUAUUUGAUAGUUCAUACACAAGCAUCAUACAGCCUAAACUUCACAGAGAGAGAGAGAGAGAGAGAAUCCCGAUGCUGCUAGUACAAAUAAAAGUUCCCUAAGUAUUCUCUGCCCUGUCCUUACAAUGGUCAUUACCUCUUAGUUACGGUUGCUGGGAAAGAGAAGUUGUCACCCAUGUUUAUGGAGAUUUCAAAGAAUUUACAUCAUGGAUACUUUUACAGCAUCUGUCUAUUACAUAACGAACUCCUCCUUCUUUGAUGGCUUGCUUGUGAUCACACUGCAUCUGUUAUGCAUCCUUAGUUUACAUUUAGUACACAGUAGAGCGUUGCUCAUUCUUUUUUGCUGCAUGUGCCACGUAAAAAGCAUGAAGUCCACUCUGCUGAGUGGUUGGUAUUAGGAAGGGCAUCCAGCUGUAAAAAUCCUGCCAAAACAGUCACAGAAGUCUGGUGCAAGUUUCAGCCUGGUUGGCUACUGUGGUACCAUCCCACCCAUGCUAGCAUGGAAGACAGAUGUUAAACGACAACGACGACGAUGAUUGAGCUUAACCCCUCCUCCACUAAAAACACAGAAAUUGGCCAGGAACAGAAGGCCUUUGAAUAUAGUUCUGCUUGGUUGGAGUUGACACUGGGCUAAAGAGGAACAACAGCAAUUGUUGUUAUGAUUCCCUGAUUUGCUGGUCCAGUUAAAAAUAGCAGCAAAAUUUCUCUCAAGCAGACAGGAGUGUAUCUGGGGCACAUUGAGGAGUUUUUACAGAAUAUUUGACUUUGAGGAAAAAAAUAUUUUUUAUAAAUGUUGACUACCUUACAAAACUAUAUCAGCCAAGUAAAUGAUCUUCUGUAAAUGCAUUAAAAACAUCAUAACAUAUUGAAAAUACUAUUUCAAAGAAUUAUCUCUGUUCGCUUAGAGCAUGAAAAAGACAUAUUUAGACGGAGCGAAAUAAGUAAGACAAGGUUAAUUUGCCACUUCACUUCUCCAGAAUUACAUUUGAAAACAGCCUCAUGCACAUUGAUAUUCAUCCUUAGACAUCAAAAAGAUCAUAAAUGCAACAAAAAUUUAAAACAUCUAGGUCAAAUGAAAGAGAAUCAUGGAAAUAUGGCACAUGAUAUGAAAUUAACGAAACUUGAUUAAAU